This 387-nucleotide ribosomal RNA is filed under the name uncultured bacterium. Its description in RNAcentral is "bacterial SSU rRNA". It matches the Rfam family "Bacterial small subunit ribosomal RNA", at positions 29 to 415 of the family's 1533-position model. The record is from RNAcentral.
UACGAACGCUGGCGGCGUGCCUAACACAUGCAAGUCGAACGGGGUGAUGACUUCGGUUAUUACUUAGUGGCGAACGGGUGAGUAACGCGUGAGAAACCUGCCUUUCAGUGGGGGACAACAGUUGGAAACGACUGCUAAUACCGCAUAACGCAGCGAGACCGCAUGGUCUUGCUGUCAAAAGCUUUAUGUGCUGAGAGAUGGCCUCGCGUCUGAUUAGAUAGUUGGUGAGGUAACGGCCCACCAAGUCGACGAUCAGUAGCCGGUCUGAGAGGAUGAACGGCCACAUUGGGACUGAGACACGGCCCAGACUCCUACGGGAGGCAGCAGUGGGGAAUAUUGGGCAAUGGGCGCAAGCCUGACCAGCAACGCCGCGUGAAGGAAGAAGGC